RNAcentral lists this long non-coding RNA (6086 nucleotides) under Sus scrofa (pig). Its description in RNAcentral is "lncRNA (ENSSSCG00000060336.1)". The record is from RNAcentral. Lineage: Eukaryota; Metazoa; Chordata; Mammalia; Artiodactyla; Suidae.
AAUUGAGACCCCCCUUCAUCCUUCAGAGCCCCCGGAGGGUGCCCGUGGGCCACGUCUGGUUUACCUGCCACCUUUGAGACAGUCCUCGUUUGUGAACAUUCUAUUACAACAGCCGGAAUAAAAUCCUAAUUGGUGCCUUUUCCAGGAGGCAUGGAGAUAGAGGUGGGAGACAUAUCAUUUAGACUGUCAAACCAUGUGACUGCAUGGCCUACUUUAAAAUUUUUAACUUAAAGUACAAAAGAAGCAAGAGAGAUUUCUGAUUAACGAAUGGCUAACCUGGGGACUUCUCAUCGUGGCUCGGUGGUAAUGAAUCCCAACUCGUAUUUAUGAAGAUGUAGGUUUGAUCCCUGGCCUCGCUCAGUUGCCGUGAGCCGUGGUGUAGGUCGCAGAUGCGGCUUGGAUCUGGUGUUGCUGUGGCUGUGGUGUAGGCCGGCAGCUGCAGCUCUGAUAUUCGACCCCUAGCCCGGGAACCUCCAAAUGCUGCAGGUGCGGGCCUAAAAAACAACACCAAACAAACAAAAAGGCUAAACUGGACGUUCCGUGCUGAUCUAGAACACAGAAAUUUUAAUUAUUUCAUUAACAAAUGCGUAAGGAUAAAACGGUCCCAGGAGUGAUUAAUAUGAGGGUUCUAUGAUUAGAGCCCCUAGGAGUGUAAAGAAAAGCUAUUAUAAUUUUUGACUGAUUGUAUUGAGAUGAUUUUUUCAUGCAUUUUAUUGCAUGGCGGUUAAGAAUACUCUAAAUGACUUUAAAGUCCAACGGCCCAGGUCUGACUUCAUCUCUUAUUUGGGACAAGUUGCUUAACUUCUCUGGCCUUGAGUUUCUUCAUUUAUAAAAUGGUUGAAUGCACCUCACGUAUAGGGUCAAAGGAGUUUAUAGAAAGGUUUUAGUCCUGCAAAGGGCCAGUUAUCAUUAUUUCUAAUGACUUAAUGGUUUCUAGAAUUAGAAAUUCUGCCCUGGGGUCCUGGCAUGGGAGUAGCCCGAUGGUCAUUGCAUCACAAUAGGGAACCCAGAAGUAGAUUGACGGUAAGACUGCUGUCCACUUGCUUUGCAUGGUGCCCCAUAGCACUGGUUUACAAACAGCAUCUGUUCUGACUGGCUCAUGCACACACUGCCCUGUGGUUUAUAUUCAGAAUAUACCCCUGGUCCCGGGACACAUGGAAAAAAGGUAGUACAUGCAAAUGUUGUACAUCAAUUCAGUGGUUAAGGAGGAUGGGUUUCGCUGGCAAACACUCACUCUAUACAUGGUCGAAGAAGAAGUAAGACCAUUAUCUUAUACUACAUAAACAUACAUUUCAGAUGAACUUGAGACUUAGGUGAAAAAAACGUAUCAAUGGAAAUUUAGCCCUAAACAUCGGAGAAUCUUUUAACAGGAAACCCAGAGCUGUAAAAGUAAUGGUAAAUAAUUACUCAAUUAAAACACACACACACACACACACACACCCCAAAAAACCAUAUAUAGUGUGGAAAAAGUACUACAAAAUUCAAUAGACAAAUGAUAGAUUAGGAAAAAAUAUUCCCAAUGCAUGUGAAAAAUGAAGGGUUAAGAACUUUAUUAUACAAAAGGCUAUUUUUAUUUAUUUUAAUUUAUUUAUUUUUUUGCCUUUCCUAGGGCAGCUCCUGCGUCAUAUGGAGGUUCCCAGGCUAGGGGUCUAAUCGGAGCUAUAGCUCCUGCACCAGAGCCACAGCAACACGGGGAUCCGAGCCGCAUCUGCAGCCUACAUCCCCAACCCACUGAGCAAGGCCAGGGACCGAACCCGCAACCUCAUGGUUCCUAGUUGGGUUUGUUAACCACUACGCCACAACGGGAACUCCAAAAAGCUAUUUUUUAAAAGUAACCUUAUAGAAAAUGGACAAAAUGUGAAAAGAUAAUAUAUGUAAGAGCAAAACCAGGAUGGUCACUGAACACAGAUGACACCACCGAGGAUCAGGGGACUGCAAACUGGAGGAACAGUGACUUCGCCGUUCCUUCACGGACAUCAGACUGGCAAAAUCAGAAGGGAGCUAACAACCCCUGCUUUCAGGAGCAUGUGGAAGGGGUGCUCGCACACUGCUGGUGGCAUUAUGCAUUCCUCCAGGAUUUUGGAAAGCAAAAUUAAAUUUUAAAGAUGUCCUUUUCCACUCAUACAAAUAAUUUUUCACUUAAAUGAAAGCCCCAGUAUGCAAGAGGUAUGUGGAUGUUUAUUGAAUCCCUGUUUGCCACUGGCUAAAACCGUACAAAUCAGGCAUUCGGCCGGUAUGGUCCAUCCUCUCAGUGGAACAAUUACGCAGUCACUGAACAGGACGCGGUUAGGAAGACACAGUUUUCGCAGGAAUCUCCACGGCCGAGUUUAGAUCAGGCACACAAAAUGCAGAGAAGCAUCUAUUCCACACACAGACACACAUGCACACACAGCAGAAAUUCAUCUGAUUAUAUAAAUAUGGGGAAAGAAAAGGACAUAUCUGUAGCACAUUUUUUAUAUUGAUUCCCUGGGAUGUACCAAACCACCAGCCAAGCAAUAGUUUUUAAAUGUUAAGUGCCCUGGAGCACUCCCGUCGUGGCUCAGCCGGUUAACGAACCCAGCUAGUACCCGUGAGGACACGGGAUCCAUCCCUGGCUCGGAUCUGGCGUUGCUGUGGCUGUGGUGAGGCCGGCGGCCACAGCUCCAAUUCAACUCCUAGCGUGAACCUCCAUGUGCCUCGGGUGCGGCCCUAAAAAGACAAGAAAAUAAAUACAUUGGUGAAAUUCUUUUAUAAAAGUUAAAUUAUAAUCCUGAAAAGAACUCUGUUAUAACAAGUUAUAUAAUAUUGCACAUCAACAACACUUGGGUAAAACUUACAUAUAAUAAAACCAUUUUUCACAACUGGUUUUAUAGGGAGAGAACACUGGGCAGUGAAAGCGGAUUCAGAAUAAGCGCGUGAGGGAUUAGGCAGCGAGAGAGAGCGCUGUUUCUGUCUGGACACACCCACUGUCUACAGCGUAACUGGACACACACACCCCAGUUUUCUCUUUUCUGGCUCCCCUGGGCUUCUACCUCCCAGCCCUCUCACCAUUGUCUGCCUGCUCCAUCUUUUUCCUUUUUGCCCGAAACAUCUGCAUGGUUUUCUUGAGUAUUAUGAUCCAGUUCCUUUUCUUUCACAAUAAGAGGCUUAUUGGGAUCUAAGUUUUAAUAAAUGUAUUCUCUCUUCAGUGACCAGGGUGUUGAAAAGCAAAAAGUACAAGCCCAGCUGAGUUUCUCAGCCGUUCUCGGUCCCUGGAGGGAUGCAUGGGCGUGGAGCCGUGGAUCAGGUCAGCACCGGACAGGGCCACCCCUGCUGGCUGGAAGCCUCACUUUGUCCCUGACAGGCCCAUUCUGCCUUUCUAGGGGUUGGAAACGCACGCUGGUGUCACAAGUGCCUCUCCCGUAGGGUGGCUGUAAAACUUUAGCCAUGUGUUUGUAGCAUUUUCCACCCAUUGCUGAAAGAGUUGAGGAAAUCCAGUGUUAAAUCUUGUUCCUGUGACUGCUGUGAUUCAUUUUGCUUUAGUGAUGCAACAGGUGAAAAAACAAUGGUUGCUUAUGAUCAGGACAAGGGUGAGAUUUGUAUAUGACCUAAAGAAUUGUCAUCUAUUUUUCCGUGACAAAAAUCUUAUUCAAAGGGCUCUCUGUAGUGAUUGGAUGUCAAUGCUUUUUCAAAUCAGAGCAUCUGUUUUGAUGCUUUGCAAAAUUCCAGUUGCUUUCUGCAGCUUCCGUAUUGACAGGGGCUAUCAGGCUUUCCCAAGAGGGUCUUAUCUGCAAGCUGCAGCAGGGACCCAGAGAGCUGCCAGACAGGUUUAGUGGGAUUGCAGGGCUGCCUGAGAGCUGGAGGCCAGGCUGGGUGCACUCAGCUCUCUCCUUUCAAGGCCUGCAGGCUUUGACCUGUAAGUAGGUGCCUACACAGGGUCUAAUCUGUCACACAAAAAUGCCUUAGCCAAAGUGGUAAUGCCCCUUAUUACCUGGCUUAGCAACAAUCUCAAGACACAUAUUUUGAGAGGUUCUUGUAUAAGCGAAACUAUGCCUGGUAUGUCUAUAAAACCCUCUUAAGAGAUGAUACAAUGAUGCAAAUUUAUUUAGAGCAGCCAAUGAGAACAAGUCCCUGCCUACCCCAGCUCUCAGGAGCAGCCCCAAAAUAACAAACCAACAGGUGCCCUUGGCGGGUGACGCCCUUUAGACUGAGCGCCAGUGUUCUGUUCUUGGGGACCGUGUUGUGCUCACGGGGGACGGCUUUUACCCUCUCUCCUCAUCGUGAUUUAUUCUUAAUGCCUUCAUUUAAAACAUACUUUAAUUUUUAAUGUUUUCUUGAUAGUUCAGAGAACCGUUUUCAAUUUGGGGAAAAAACCACUUCCUAAAAUUGGAGUGAACUUUGAUAUAACCUUAAAAGUAAAUUCCUGGUAAGAUUUGUUCUUUUAUUCUUAAAAUGGAGGCAGAUUGGGUAACACAUUGAAAGUAGGCCAUUGGCAAGUUAUUUGGGGGGAAAAGUAAUUAGAGGAGAGAUUAGGAGGUCCAUUCAACAAACACUAUAAAUAUUUGUAAUAGCUGUAACAGCACCUUCUAAUAACAAAAGCCUUUAUCAGAAUAGCCUUCCUCCUUUGCAGUGGGGGGGAACACCUGGGCCAUUCUGUCCCCUCCCCCCGCCCCCCGCCCCACGCAUCAAAGCCUCGGCUCAGUAUCACCAAUGAGAUAAACUACUAAAACACUGUCUUCCUUAAGGUGCAUUGCACCGAUGAGUUAUUGUUAAUAUUCUACAAGGGAAACAAGUUACAUUUACAAGUUACUUAAUACAUAUGGCAAGGUGCUCUCUCUGUCUGUUUUAGUAAAAGACAAAUAAGUGUUUACUGAGAGAAGGGUGAAGAUGGGUGUAGAGGAAGCAGGGUAGGCUCUGGGGUGGGGAGGGCACGAGGGGAGGGCGUGGCGUGUGGGGAGGGUUAGACAGAACAAGAGGAAGAGCAGGUAGCCUCUUAAGAAAUAUACUUUAAUGGAACUGGUUCCUUUGUGGUGGAAAAUAAUUAUUUGAAGGUAAACAAUGACUUAUGAGCCUUUCUUUUCCUUUCCUUUUUUUUUUUUUUUUUUUGAGUCUUUUUGAAGACUUUUUUUGACCACACCUGUGGCAUGCAGAAAUUUCUGGGCCAGGGAUAGAACCCAUGCCAUAGCAGAAACCAGAAAUGCCAGGUCCUUAACACACUGAGCCACCAGGGAACUCCCUGAAGAUAUUUAGAGGUUUCUAUCUAAGUUGGAAGAAUUUACAAUUAUUUGCUCUCAGCAUUAGCUCUGUGAUGGAGGGAAGGAAGCAAGUAUUGUUCAGUUUUCCAUUUUUUAAAGUGUCCACAAUUUAAUAUUAAAGUAACAACUCUGAAACAACUUAUUUUGUAACAACAAGAACAAACAGGUAUCCUAUUUAUUUAUCCUACAAUAAAUAGCUACAAGGUGUAUGCAUGAUACUAUAUUGUUGAUAACAUAGAUUGCUUGGAGUGUUGUCUCAAUUCCAGAAAUCCUGGUUUUGUCUCCAAGUCUUAGUCUGAUUUAUGUGUCUAUGUUAAGAUCACUACUGCCUUUUGCUUCACUUUCUCCCCACUUUUACUUUCACUCAUUCAUUCACUGGCUGUUGACCAUGUGGUACCAGGCUCUGAAGAUAGAAAGAACAAUAUUUGAGCUGCAGCUCGAAAAGUAGUUUGGUCCUAUCCAUGCUUGGUCCCUACUCCCAUGGAGCUCAUACCCUAGCUAGGGAGACAGACAGCAAACAGGUGAAAUACAUGCGUGAGAAGGAUCAUCACAGCUUUGGGCUCCUAUGAUCAGAGACUCUAGUUGCUGAGAUCUGAAGGAUGAGCAAGAACCAGCCAUGCGUCCUCUGCAGAGACUGCCCCUGAGCAGGAAAUGCCUUGCAGAUCUGAGAAGCGGAAGGCGGUCAGGAGUUCAGCACGGAUGAGGAGUGGGCAGAGUGGGAAAAGGUGAGGCUGGAGAGGUGGGCAGAAGCCACAGGAUGCAGGCAGAGGGAGGAAGUCUGGAAUUUAGUCCAGGAGCAGGAAGACCCUGCAUGGCUUAGGCAGGGGCGGGCCGGUGAAAGCAGAGGGAGCGUAUUCAGGAUCACGGGGCUGC